GCUCUCCUACUUAGCCCAAAUUACUUCGACACCAGUUCAAGAACCUUAAUAUACAGCUCCCCUUUGGUUUAUGCUUUGCAAAACGCAUUCCAACCAUUCCUAAGGGGAUUGUCAUAAAAUUGGGAAAGUCUAUCAGCAACGAAAUCAGAUUUAUCUACUCAGCAGAAUACACAAACAAACUAAAGUUCCUACUUUGAAUGUCCACUUGAGGUGCCAACACAAACAUGUGAGAUGUGGAGCUAUUCUAUGGUAUGAAGAGAGGAACGUCAAGUCAAGAAGACCAUCAAAACCAAAGUUUUUGUUGUGCUGUUCAGAAAGACUAAUUUAUUUACCUUUGUUAAAAUACGCACCUCCAGUUCUUGAAGGAUUGAUGAAUUACUGUGGCCCUUCAUUUGUAAUAGUAUAUCUAAUACAUUUACAUUUCAUUGUAACUGUCUGGUAUAACAAUGUCCAAAGGAUAUAGCUUUCUUGAUUAAAUAUCUGAUGCUAAGGAGACAUGGAGUAUUAGA
Quercus lobata is the source of this 509-nucleotide long non-coding RNA. RefSeq lists it as uncharacterized. NCBI's taxonomy places the organism in Eukaryota, Viridiplantae, Streptophyta, Magnoliopsida, Fagales, Fagaceae. The transcript is spliced from 4 exons. The record is from RefSeq and is a predicted model, not a curated record.